RNAcentral lists this ribosomal RNA (382 nucleotides) under uncultured bacterium. RNAcentral describes it as "bacterial SSU rRNA". It matches the Rfam family "Bacterial small subunit ribosomal RNA", at positions 29 to 402 of the family's 1533-position model. The record is from RNAcentral.
AACGAACGCUGGCGGCGCGCCUAAUACAUGCAAGUCGAGCGAGAAGGUGUAGCAAUACACUUGUAAAGCGGCGAACGGGUGAGGAAUACAUGGGUAAUCUACCAUCGAGUGGGGAAUAACCAACCGAAAGGUUGGCUAAUACCGCGUACGCCUCCGAGUCUUCGGGUUCGGAGGGAAAGCUGCACUGUGAGUGUAGCGCUCUUUGAUGAGCUCAUGUCCUAUCAGCUUGUUGGUAGGGUAACGGCCUACCAAGGCUUUGACGGGUAGCUGGUCUGAGAGGACGAUCAGCCACACUGGCACUGCGACACGGGCCAGACUCCUACGGGAGGCAGCAGUAAGGAAUAUUGCGCAAUGGCGAAAGCCUGACGCAGCGACGCCGCGU